UUUAAAGUAGUUUAAUUUAAAACAGAACAUUUUCACUGCUCAAAUAAAAAUUUAUUUUUCUUUAAUU
This 67-nucleotide transfer RNA is filed under the name Ptenothrix huangshanensis. Its description in RNAcentral is "tRNA-Glu". The record is from RNAcentral. Lineage: Eukaryota; Metazoa; Arthropoda; Collembola; Symphypleona; Dicyrtomidae.